AUCCGACCCGGUAAGGGUAUCUUUUUAAUUCAUGAUUCUUUGGAUCAAAUUUUUCCGACCAGGCGGAAGCAAUCCGACCCGGUAAAGGUAUCUUUUUAAAACAUGAUUUUAUGGAUCAAAUUUUUCCGAACAGGAGGAAGCAAUCCGACCCGGUAAGGGUUUUCGAGUUGCAAUCACAACGACGGGAAGCGAAGCGACCUCUUCUCCUCUUCUUUCUUCGCCAUCGCCGCCGCUAGGCGACUGCCCCUCCGCCUCCGGCCACUAGCUUCUGUCCAAGAGAGCUCCUUCCCGGGGAAGACGCGUAUUCCAAGGACGGAGGACUGAUUCAGAAUCACAACUGUUCGAUUUGCUGAUGGAACUGUGCUCGUAUUGUUCGUGACACAAACGGACUAAGAUUUCUGCUUCCCAGCUUGCUGCCAUCUUACAACUGGUUGCAGUCCACACAAUGGGCAGCCUGUAUUUUCUGCAUUGACAUGGCGACGACAUAUAUAGUUAGUCAUUUUCUCAAUUAGGGCUGGAUUCUUGACUGCAAUGGCUUCCGGUCUGACUCAAUUUGGCAAUGUGCUUAGCAAGAAAGUCAUGGUCAAGAAAGAGGUCAUAAAUCUUGACAGAUGAAUAUGAAUGCAACAUAACAUUAGUUUUUUAGUUAAUUUCGAACAUUUCUUGUGGUAAUUCGUUUUUUUAUUACAGCAAUCGUUGGACACAUAAAUCUCUUCUCAAUCUGCAAUAUUAUUUGUGAAGGGAAUGCAAUCUUCUAUAUGCUGUCUCAUACAUGAUACUCACAGGAGCAACACCCAUAUCAGCAGGCGUAUAUGCUUAUAAACUUUGUGAAGCGGGUCGUGGUCAUUGUCAGUUCAAUCCUCUUGUUCAUGACUCAGUUUCCACCCAUGAACUCCCUUGGUACUGGCCAUUGCACCAGCAGGAUUUUUCUUCUACUCGAGCAAAAAGAAUCAAGUUAAAGAUUGUGUAGUUUUUUUUUUUUUUUUGUACGUGUUUGAGGAAAUUCUAACUCAUUCUAGAGAGUAUUCAUUUUUGUGCUCGUGAUGUUUGGAUGGGUUUGGGAUGAGAGCAAUUGUUUGCCUCUUUAUAUCUGGAGCUUGAAUCUAACUGGGACUCUUUUAGGAUCCUUUUAUUAGGGAUCGAACCACAGUAAAUCCAUUAUACGCUGUCUUAUAUUA
Molecule: long non-coding RNA, 1178 nt
Organism: Zingiber officinale
Lineage: Eukaryota; Viridiplantae; Streptophyta; Magnoliopsida; Zingiberales; Zingiberaceae
Exons: 5
Source: RefSeq, a predicted model, not a curated record